RNAcentral lists this ribosomal RNA (497 nucleotides) under uncultured bacterium. RNAcentral describes it as "partial 16S ribosomal RNA". It matches the Rfam family "Bacterial small subunit ribosomal RNA", at positions 28 to 507 of the family's 1533-position model. The record is from RNAcentral.
GAUGAACGCUGGCGGCGUGCCUAAUACAUGCAAGUCGAGCGAACAGACGAGGAGCUUGCUCCUCUGACGUUAGCGGCGGACGGGUGAGUAACACGUGGAUAACCUACCUAUAAGACUGGGAUAACUUCGGGAAACCGGAGCUAAUACCGGAUAAUAUAUUGAACCGCAUGGUUCAAUAGUGAAAGACGGUUUUGCUGUCACUUAUAGAUGGAUCCGCGCCGCAUUAGCUAGUUGGUAAGGUAACGGCUUACCAAGGCAACGAUGCGUAGCCGACCUGAGAGGGUGAUUGGCCAGACUGGAACUGAGACACGGUCCAGACACCUGCGGGAAGCAGCAGUAGGGAAUCUUCCGCAAUGGGCGAAAGCCUGACGGAGCAACGCCGCGUGAGGGAUGAAGGUCUUCGGAUCGGAAAACUCUGUUAUUAGGGAAGAACAAAUGUGUAAGUAACUAUGCACGUCUUGACGGUACCUAAUCAGAAAGCCACGGCUAACUACGUG